GAUGAACGCUGGCGGCGUGCCUAAUACAUGCAAGUCGAGCGAACGGACGAGAAGCUUGCUUCUCUGAUGUUAGCGGCGGACGGGUGAGUAACACGUGGAUAACCUACCUAUAAGACUGGGAUAACUUCGGGAAACCGGAGCUAAUACCGGAUAAUAUUUUGAACCGCAUGGUUCAAAAGUGAAAGAAGGUCUUGCUGUCACUUAUAGAUGGAUCCGCGCUGCAUUAGCUAGUUGGUAAGGUAACGGCUUACCAAGGCAACGAUGCAUAGCCGACCUGAGAGGGUGAUCGGCCAGACGGGAACUGAGACACGGUCCAGACUCCUACGGGAGGCAGCAGUAGGGAAUCUUCCGGAAUGGGCGAAAGCCUGACGGAGCAACGCCGCGUGAGUGAUGAAGGUCUUCGGAUCGUAAAACUCUGUUAUUAGGGAAGAACAUAUGUGUAAGUAACUGUGCACAUCUUGACGGUACCUAAUCAGAAAGCCACGGCUAACUACGUG
Molecule: ribosomal RNA, 497 nt
Filed under: uncultured bacterium
Lineage: Bacteria
Description: partial 16S ribosomal RNA
Rfam family: Bacterial small subunit ribosomal RNA
Source: RNAcentral